RNAcentral lists this long non-coding RNA (465 nucleotides) under Triticum aestivum (bread wheat). RNAcentral describes it as "long non-coding RNA (TAES_LNC021450)". Lineage: Eukaryota; Viridiplantae; Streptophyta; Magnoliopsida; Poales; Poaceae. The record is from RNAcentral.
UGCCCCUCCCUAGCUAGCCAUCUUAUCCAAGCCCUCCAUUGGCCUCUCCCUCCUAUAAAUUCGCUUGUUCUGCAUGCUGGUCUAUAUCCACAAUCACACUAGCCACUAGAAGCACUGAAGAAGCAGAGGGUGUCAAGCAUGGCGUCCAAGGGUCUUCUUGUGUUUGCUCUCCUGCUUGCUGCUGCUAUCCUCGUCGCCUCAACUGAACAAACUCGUGAGCUAACGCGCUACUGAUCUCGUAGUACUUUCGAACUAGCAUGAAUUAACUAGUCGUCAUUAGGCUAGGAAUCUUGCUUUGCUGCGUGCUGCUCCUAAUUUCAAUGCACAAUAUUUUUCUGUUCAUGUAGAGGCCAAGAAGGAGGAGAAGAAAGCCGGUGUAGAGGGCUACGGCGGCGGCGGCGGCUACCCUGGAGGCGGCGGGGGAGGCUACCCAGGCCACGGUGGAGGAGGAGGCGGCGGCUAUCC